GCAGUGGGGAGGUGUGCUGGAUAGUGUAAUCAGGGUGAGGAAGCAAAACUAAAGUGAGAAAAGCAAGAGAGGAAGGUGCAGCCGGGCAAACCUGACAGAGGUAGCAUGACUCAAAGUUUUCAAAGUUUUUUGAAUAAAAUCCAAAUAGGAUUCAUUCUACUAAAAUAGGUUUUAAACUGAGGUUUUACAGAUCAACGUGUUAGUCCCUACUCCAUCUAGAUUUGUUCAGACAAACCCAAAUUUGAGGAUUCCUUUUGGUAACUAGAUGGAAGAAAAUGGUGGCGGGUCCUGUUCAGCUGGUUGAUUCAGGAAAGUAAUGAUUUCCAAGCCACCUGAGCGCAGCAAUGAGGGCCAGCAUUGCUCAACAGCUCCACCUCCUGGCUGACAGAUUGGGAGCAGAUGCCAUCCUAAAAGCAGGGAAGGACUUCACCCAGCGCUUCCUCAUUGCUGUCUAUAACAUGUGUCUGCAUGCUGCCCCUGAAGUCAGGCCCCACGGACCGGCUAUUCUCCAGGAACUGGCCCUCGACAGGGAUCUUGUGAAACUCUGGAACGGGAUCAUUACUGAAAAAGAUUAACAACUGGAGAAGAUCUUAAGGAAGAGGAUGAAGAAGUAGAACAAGAAGAAACUGGCAUUCUAAACCCUGUCCCUGUACCUAUCCUUGAUCCCAAACCCUGAGCAGUGUUAACCACUGCACCACCCACCAUUGUUGUUGACAAUGAACAAAUAAAUGGAAACAUUGUUAUUGUUGUUAAAAGACUGC
Long non-coding RNA from Monopterus albus (swamp eel), 761 nucleotides. RefSeq lists it as uncharacterized. The transcript has 3 exons. Lineage: Eukaryota; Metazoa; Chordata; Actinopteri; Synbranchiformes; Synbranchidae. The record is from RefSeq and is a predicted model, not a curated record.